AUUGAACGCUGGCGGCAUACUUUACACAUGCAAGUCGAACUGCAGCGCGGGGCAACCUGGCGGCGAGUGGCGAACGGGUGAGUAAUAUAUCGGAACGUACCCAGAAGUGGGGGAUAACGUAGCGAAAGUUACGCUAAUACCGCAUACGAUCUACGAAUGAAAGUAGGGGACCGCAAGGCCUUAUGCUUUUGGAGCGGCCGAUAUCUGAUUAGCUAGUUGGUGAGGUAAAGGCUCACCAAGGCGACGAUCAGUAGCUGGUCUGAGAGGACGACCAGCCACACUGGAACUGAGACACGGUCCAGACUCCUACGGGAGGCAGCAGUGGGGAAUUUUGGACAAUGGGCGCAAGCCUGAUCCAGCAAUGCCGCGUGAGUGAAGAAGGCCUUCGGGUUGUAAAGCUCUUUUGUCAGGGAAGAAACGGUAGAGGCUAAUAUCCUUUGCUAAUGACGGUACCUGAAGAAUAAGCACCGGCUAACUACGUG
Molecule: ribosomal RNA, 482 nt
Filed under: uncultured bacterium
Lineage: Bacteria
Description: partial 16S ribosomal RNA
Rfam family: Bacterial small subunit ribosomal RNA
Source: RNAcentral